This 2189-nucleotide ribosomal RNA is filed under the name Salmonella enterica subsp. enterica serovar Arechavaleta. Its description in RNAcentral is "partial 23S ribosomal RNA". It matches the Rfam family "Bacterial large subunit ribosomal RNA", at positions 630 to 2802 of the family's 2925-position model. Lineage: Bacteria; Pseudomonadati; Pseudomonadota; Gammaproteobacteria; Enterobacterales; Enterobacteriaceae. The record is from RNAcentral.
AUAUUCUGUAGCAAGGUUAACCGAAUAGGGGAGCCGGAGGGAAACCGAGUCUUAACCGGGCGUUAAGUUGCAGGGUAUAGACCCGAAACCCGGUGAUCUAGCCAUGGGCAGGUUGAAGGUUGGGUAACACUAACUGGAGGACCGAACCGACUAAUGUUGAAAAAUUAGCGGAUGACCUGUGGCUGGGGGUGAAAGGCCAAUCAAACCGGGAGAUAGCUGGUUCUCCCCGAAAGCUAUUUAGGUAGCGCCUCGUGAAUUCAUCUCCGGGGGUAGAGCACUGUUUCGGCUAGGGGGCCAUCCCGGCUUACCAACCCGAUGCAAACUGCGAAUACCGGAGAAUGUUAUCACGGGAGACACACGGCGGGUGCUAACGUCCGUCGUGAAGAGGGAAACAACCCAGACCGCCAGCUAAGGUCCCAAAGUCAUGGUUAAGUGGGAAACGAUGUGGGAAGGCCCAGACAGCCAGGAUGUUGGCUUAGAAGCAGCCAUCAUUUAAAGAAAGCGUAAUAGCUCACUGGUCGAGUCGGCCUGCGCGGAAGAUGUAACGGGGCUAAACCAUGCACCGAAGCUGCGGCAGCGACACUCAGGUGUUGUUGGGUAGGGGAGCGUUCUGUAAGCCUGCGAAGGUGGCCUGUGAGGGUUGCUGGAGGUAUCAGAAGUGCGAAUGCUGACAUAAGUAACGAUAAAGCGGGUGAAAAGCCCGCUCGCCGGAAGACCAAGGGUUCCUGUCCAACGUUAAUCGGGGCAGGGUGAGUCGACCCCUAAGGCGAGGCCGAAAGGCGUAGUCGAUGGGAAACGGGUUAAUAUUCCCGUACUUGGUGUUACUGCGAAGGGGGGACGGAGAAGGCUAUGUUGGCCGGGCGACGGUUGUCCCGGUUUAAGCGUGUAGGUGUGUGUUCCAGGUAAAUCCGGUUCACUUUAACACUGAGGUGUGACGACGAGGCACUACGGUGCUGAAGCAACAAAUGCCCUGCUUCCAGGAAAAGCCUCUAAGCAUCAGGUAACAUCAAAUCGUACCCCAAACCGACACAGGUGGUCAGGUAGAGAAUACCAAGGCGCUUGAGAGAACUCGGGUGAAGGAACUAGGCAAAAUGGUGCCGUAACUUCGGGAGAAGGCACGCUGACACGUAGGUGAAGUGAUUUACUCAUGGAGCUGAAGUCAGUCGAAGAUACCAGCUGGCUGCAACUGUUUAUUAAAAACACAGCACUGUGCAAACACGAAAGUGGACGUAUACGGUGUGACGCCUGCCCGGUGCCGGAAGGUUAAUUGAUGGGGUCAGCGCAAGCGAAGCUCCUGAUCGAAGCCCCGGUAAACGGCGGCCGUAACUAUAACGGUCCUAAGGUAGCGAAAUUCCUUGUCGGGUAAGUUCCGACCUGCACGAAUGGCGUAAUGAUGGCCAGGCUGUCUCCACCCGAGACUCAGUGAAAUUGAACUCGCUGUGAAGAUGCAGUGUACCCGCGGCAAGACGGAAAGACCCCGUGAACCUUUACUAUAGCUUGACACUGAACAUUGAGCCUUGAUGUGUAGGAUAGGUGGGAGGCUUUGAAGUGUGGACGCCAGUCUGCAUGGAGCCGACCUUGAAAUACCACCCUUUAAUGUUUGAUGUUCUAACGUGGACCCGUGAUCCGGGUUGCGGACAGUGUCUGGUGGGUAGUUUGACUGGGGCGGUCUCCUCCUAAAGAGUAACGGAGGAGCACGAAGGUUGGCUAAUCCUGGUCGGACAUCAGGAGGUUAGUGCAAUGGCAUAAGCCAGCUUGACUGCGAGCGUGACGGCGCGAGCAGGUGCGAAAGCAGGUCAUAGUGAUCCGGUGGUUCUGAAUGGAAGGGCCAUCGCUCAACGGAUAAAAGGUACUCCGGGGAUAACAGGCUGAUACCGCCCAAGAGUUCAUAUCGACGGCGGUGUUUGGCACCUCGAUGUCGGCUCAUCACAUCCUGGGGCUGAAGUAGGUCCCAAGGGUAUGGCUGUUCGCCAUUUAAAGUGGUACGCGAGCUGGGUUUAGAACGUCGUGAGACAGUUCGGUCCCUAUCUGCCGUGGGCGCUGGAGAACUGAGGGGGGCUGCUCCUAGUACGAGAGGACCGGAGUGGACGCAUCACUGGUGUUCGGGUUGUCAUGCCAAUGGCACUGCCCGGUAGCUAAAUGCGGAAGAGAUAAGUGCUGAAAGCAUCUAAGCACGAAACUUGCCCCGA